CAGUCGCCGCGGUAAAACGGAGGGUGCAAGCGUUAAUCGGAAUUACUGGGCGUAAAGCGCACGCAGGCGGUCUGUCAAGUCAGAUGUGAAAUCCCCGGGCUUAACCUGGGAACUGCAUUUGAAACUGGCAGGCUAGAGUCUUGUAGAGGGGGGUAGAAUUCCAGGUGUAGCGGUGAAAUGCGUAGAGAUCUGGAGGAAUACCGGUGGCGAAGGCGGCCCCCUGGACAAAGACUGACGCUCAGGUGCGAAAGCGUGGGGAGCAAACAGGAUUAGAUACCCGAGUAGUCCCUGUCUCUUAUAC
RNAcentral lists this ribosomal RNA (301 nucleotides) under uncultured bacterium. RNAcentral describes it as "partial 16S ribosomal RNA". It matches the Rfam family "Bacterial small subunit ribosomal RNA", at positions 509 to 807 of the family's 1533-position model. The record is from RNAcentral.